This 253-nucleotide ribosomal RNA is filed under the name uncultured bacterium. RNAcentral's name for it is "partial 16S ribosomal RNA". It matches the Rfam family "Bacterial small subunit ribosomal RNA", at positions 524 to 776 of the family's 1533-position model. The record is from RNAcentral.
UACGGAGGGUGCGAGCGUUGUCCGGAAUCAUUGGGCGUAAAGGGCGCGUAGGUGGCCCGGUCAGUUCGUGGUGAAAGCGCGGGGCUCAACUCCGCGUCGGCCAUGAAUACUGCUGGGCUGGAGCACUGUAGAGGCAGGCGGAAUUCCGGGUGUAGCGGUGGAAUGCGUAGAGAUCCGGAAGAACACCGGUGGCGAAAGCGGCUCACUGGACCACAACUGACGCUGAGGCGCGAAAGCUAGGGGAGCAAACAGG